AUUGAACGCUGGCGGCAGGCCUAACACAUGCAAGUCGGACGGUAGCACAGAGAGCUUGCUCUCGGGUGACGAGUGGCGGACGGGUGAGUAAUGUCUGGGGAUCUGCCCGAUAGAGGGGGAUAACCACUGGAAACGGUGGCUAAUACCGCAUAACGUCGCAAGACCAAAGAGGGGGACCUUCGGGCCUCUCACUAUCGGAUGAACCCAGAUGGGAUUAGCUAGUAGGCGGGGUAAUGGCCCACCUAGGCGACGAUCCCUAGCUGGUCUGAGAGGAUGACCAGCCACACUGGAACUGAGACACGGUCCAGACUCCUACGGGAGGCAGCAGUGGGGAAUAUUGCACAAUGGGCGCAAGCCUGAUGCAGCCAUGCCGCGUGUAUGAAGAAGGCCUUCGGGUUGUAAAGUACUUUCAGCGGGGAGGAAGGCGGUGCGGUUAAUAACCGCGCCGAUUGACGUUACCCGCAGAAGAAGCACCGGCUAACUCCGUGCCAGCCGCCGCGGUAA
This 504-nucleotide ribosomal RNA is filed under the name uncultured bacterium. RNAcentral's name for it is "partial 16S ribosomal RNA". It matches the Rfam family "Bacterial small subunit ribosomal RNA", at positions 29 to 523 of the family's 1533-position model. The record is from RNAcentral.